AUUGAACGCUGGCGGCAUGCCUUACACAUGCAAGUCGAACGCCCCGCAAGGGGAGUGGCAGACGGGUGAGUAACACGUGGGAACCUACCCUUUGGUUCGGAAUAGCCCAGGGAAACUUGGGGUAAUACCGGAUAAGCCCUUCGGGGGAAAGAUUUAUCGCCGAAGGAUGGGCCCGCGUCGGAUUAGCUAGUUGGUGGGGUAACGGCCUACCAAGGCGACGAUCCGUAGCUGGUCUGAGAGGAUGAUCAGCCACACUGGGAGUGAGACACGGCCCAGACUCCUACGGGAGGCAGCAGUGGGGAAUAUUGGACAAUGGGCGCAAGCCUGAUCCAGCCAUGCCGCGUGAGUGACGAAGGUCUUCGGAUUGUAAAGCUCUUUUGGCGGGGACGAUAAUGACGGUACCCGCAGAAUAAGCCCCGGCUAACUUCGUGCCAGCCGCCGCCGUAA
Molecule: ribosomal RNA, 447 nt
Filed under: uncultured bacterium
Lineage: Bacteria
Description: partial 16S ribosomal RNA
Rfam family: Bacterial small subunit ribosomal RNA
Source: RNAcentral